This 587-nucleotide ribosomal RNA is filed under the name uncultured bacterium. Its description in RNAcentral is "partial 16S ribosomal RNA". It matches the Rfam family "Bacterial small subunit ribosomal RNA", at positions 355 to 1375 of the family's 1533-position model. The record is from RNAcentral.
UGGGGAAUUUUGGACAAUGGGCGAAAGCCUGAUCCAGCAAUGCCGCGUGUGUGAAGAAGGCCUUCGGGUUGUAAAGCACUUUUGUCCGGAAAGAAAUCCUUGGCUCUAAUACAGUCGGGGGAUGACGGUACCGAAAGAAUAAGCACCGGCUAACUACGUGCCAGCAGCCGCGGUAAUACGUAGGGUGCAAGCGUUAAUCGGAAUUACUGGGCGUAAAGCGUGCGCAGGCGGUUUGCUAAGACCGAUGUGAAAUCCCCGGGCUCAACCUGGGAACUGCAUUGGUGACUGGCAGGCUAGAGUAUGGCAGAGGGGGGUAGAAUUCCACGUGUAGCAGUGAAAUGCGUAGAGAUGUGGAGGAAUACCGAUGGCGAAGGCAGCCCCCUGGGCCAAUACUGACGCUCAUGCACGAAAGCGUGGGGAGCAAACAGGAUUAGAUACCCUGGUAGUCCACGCCCUAAAACGAUGUCAACUAGUUGUUGGGGACUUCAUUUCCUUAGUAACGUAGCUAACGCGUGAAGUUGACCGCCUGGGGAGUACGGUCGCAAGAUUAAAACUUAAAGGAAUUGACGGGGUCAUAGCUGUUUCCU